This 467-nucleotide ribosomal RNA is filed under the name uncultured bacterium. RNAcentral describes it as "partial 16S ribosomal RNA". It matches the Rfam family "Bacterial small subunit ribosomal RNA", at positions 28 to 507 of the family's 1533-position model. The record is from RNAcentral.
GACGAACGCUGGCGGCGUGCUUAACACAUGCAAGUCGAACGGAAAGGCCUCUUUCGGGGGGUACUCGAGUGGCGAACGGGUGAGUAACACGUGAGUAACCUGCCCUUGACUUUGGGAUAACUUCAGGAAACUGGGGCUAAUACCGGAUAGGAGCUCCUGCUGCAUGGUGGGGGUUGGAAAGUUUCGGCGGUUGGGGAUGGACUCGCGGCUUAUCAGCUUGUUGGUGGGGUAGUGGCUUACCAAGGCUUUGCCGGGUAGCCGGCCUGAGAGGGUGACCGGCCACAUUGGGACUGAGAUGAGGCCCAGACUCGUACGGGAGGCAGCAGGGGGGAAGAUUGCACAAGGGGUGGAAGCCUGAUGCAGCAACGCCGUGUGCGGGAUGACGGCCUUCGGGUUGAAAACCGCUUUCGCUCAUGACGAAGCUUUGUGUGACGGUAGUGGGUAAAGAAGCACCGGCUAACUACGUG